CUCAGCUAUUGCCCCCAUGCAGCCUACAGUCACCUUACCCUCUGCCCCCACGCAGCCUGCAGUCACCUCAGCCUCUGCCACCAGCCUGGUACUACUACAGAGGAAGGACAGUUGGCGUUGGAUGAGCAUGACAUGCCAGGCAUGGAUCGUGUGGACCUACUAUCAAAGUUUGUGGUCAGCAUGAGGAACUCUAGAGGUCUGCAAAAUCAUAGGUCUCUGGCAGAACCUGCUGCCCUAUGACCAACAACAAGUGACAUGUGCUACCAGGCAUCAGGACAGGCUGAUAGCAGGAAAGAUCAGAUCACCAAAAAAAAAGAAAAAAAGGCUGAGUUCACUCUGGUGUGUAGAGUCUGAAGAGAUGCAUCCUGGGAUCUACUGCCUCCCCUGCACUGGAAAUAAGGUUUAGCUUGAGCAGUGUAAAAAUCCAAAUGUAAAUAUUUCUUGAUGUUCACAUGUACAAAGUGUGUGAUGAGAGUGUAUUAAAGUUAAAGUGUAAGGAA
Molecule: long non-coding RNA, 500 nt
Organism: Notolabrus celidotus (New Zealand spotty)
Lineage: Eukaryota; Metazoa; Chordata; Actinopteri; Labriformes; Labridae
Exons: 2
Source: RefSeq, a predicted model, not a curated record